GAUGAACGCUGGCGGCGUGCCUAAUACAUGCAAGUCGAGCGAACGGACGAGAAGCUUGCUUCUCUGAUGUUAGCGGCGGACGGGUGAGUAACACGUGGGUAACCUACCUAUAAGACUGGGAUAACUUCGGGAAACCGGAGCUAAUACCGGAUAAUAUUUUGAACCGCAUGGUUCAAAAGUGAAAGACGGUCUUGCUGUCACUUAUAGAUGGAUCCGCGCUGCAUUAGCUAGUUGGUAAGGUAACGGCUUACCAAGGCAACGAUGCAUAGCCGACCUGAGAGGGUGAUCGGCCACACUGGAACUGAGACACGGUCCAGACUCCUACGGGAGGCAGCAGUAGGGAAUCUUCCGCAAUGGGCGAAAGCCUGAUGGAGCAACGCCGCGUGAGUGAUGAAGGUCUUCGGAUCGUAAAACUCUGUUAUUAGGGAAGAACAUAUGUGUAAGUAACUGUGCACAUCUUGACGGUACCUAAUCAGAAAGCCACGGCUAACUACGUG
This 497-nucleotide ribosomal RNA is filed under the name uncultured bacterium. RNAcentral describes it as "partial 16S ribosomal RNA". It matches the Rfam family "Bacterial small subunit ribosomal RNA", at positions 28 to 507 of the family's 1533-position model. The record is from RNAcentral.